UACGUAGGGGGCAAGCGUUAUCCGGAAUUACUGGGUGUAAAGGGAGCGUAGACGGUGAUGUAAGUCUGGAGUGAAAGGCGGGGGCCCAACCCCCGGACUGCUCUGGAAACUAUAUGACUGGAGUGCGGGAGAGGUGAGCGGAAUUCCUAGUGUAGCGGUGAAAUGCGUAGAUAUUAGGAGGAACACCAGUGGCGAAGGCGGCUCACUGGACUGUAACUGACGUUGAGGCUCGAAAGCGUGGGGAGCAAACAGG
RNAcentral lists this ribosomal RNA (253 nucleotides) under uncultured bacterium. Its description in RNAcentral is "partial 16S ribosomal RNA". It matches the Rfam family "Bacterial small subunit ribosomal RNA", at positions 524 to 776 of the family's 1533-position model. The record is from RNAcentral.